RNAcentral lists this ribosomal RNA (484 nucleotides) under uncultured bacterium. Its description in RNAcentral is "partial 16S ribosomal RNA". It matches the Rfam family "Bacterial small subunit ribosomal RNA", at positions 28 to 523 of the family's 1533-position model. The record is from RNAcentral.
GACGAACGCUGGCGGCGUGCUUAACACAUGCAAGUCGAACGAUGAAGCUAGAGCUUGCUCUGGUGGAUUAGUGGCGAACGGGUGAGUAACACGUGAGUAACCUGCCUCGAACUCUGGAAUAACUGCUGGAAACGGUGGCUAAUACCGGAUAUGACCAAUGAAGGCAUCUUCUGUUGGUGGAAAGAAUUACGGUUCGGGAUGGACUCGCGGCCUAUCAGCGUGGUGGUGAGGUAACGGCUCACCAAGGCGACGACGGGUAGCCGGCCUGAGAGGGUGAUCGGCCACACUGGGACUGAGACACGGCCCAGACUCCUACGGGAGGCAGCAGUGGGGAAUAUUGCACAAUGGGCGCAAGCCUGAUGCAGCAACGCCGCGUGAGGGACGACGGCCUUCGGGUUGUAAACCUCUUUUAGUAGGGAAGAAGCGAAAGUGACGGUACCUGCAGAAAAAGCACCGGCUAACUACGUGCCAGCCGCCGCCGUAA